GACGAACGCUGGCGGCGUGCUUAACACAUGCAAGUCGGGCGAGGCCCCUCCUUCGGGAGGGUGUCCUAGCGGCGAACGGGUGAGUAACACGUGGGCAACCUGCCCUCAGCUCUGGGAUAACUCCGGGAAACCGGGGCUAAUACCGGAUACGACCUCCACGGGCAUCUGCGGAGGUGGAAAGUUUUUCGGCUGAGGAUGGGCCCGCGGCCUAUCAGCUAGUUGGUGGGGUAGUGGCCCACCAAGGCGACGACGGGUAGCCGGCCUGAGAGGGCGACCGGCCACACUGGGACUGAGACACGGCCCAGACUCCUACGGGAGGCAGCAGUGGGGAAUAUUGCGCAAUGGGCGAAAGCCUGACGCAGCGACGCCGCGUGAGGGACGAAGGCCUUCGGGUUGUAAACCUCUUUCAGCAGGGACGAAGCGAAAGUGACGGUACCUGCAGAAGAAGCACCGGCCAACUACGUG
Molecule: ribosomal RNA, 465 nt
Filed under: uncultured bacterium
Lineage: Bacteria
Description: partial 16S ribosomal RNA
Rfam family: Bacterial small subunit ribosomal RNA
Source: RNAcentral